AGCUUGACUCUGGGGAUUUCGCACGAAGUCGAGUCUCGAUUUAAUCUUCCCCGCUCCUACAGCGUUGAAAUGAUACGUUCACGUCGUCUCCCCUGGUCUCGUCCAGUUUUAGGGAAGCGUUCAUCGGAGUAAACAAAAUUGCCUCUCGUAAAGCAAUCUGCAAGUCCGAGAGAAAGAAAGAGAGAGAGAGAGAGAUCACCGAACAGCUGCGUGGUUGAGAUUGAGAAGAAACUCUUGGAAUCCGUUUAGCACCUCGGCCACGCCAGAUGUUCUUUUCUCUCUUUCACAACGGUCACCGAGGGUACCUCUCGGCUUGGCCACUCGCGCCAGCGCGUAUUAAUUACGGCCGGCUAAUGGAAGCUAACAUGUUCGCCGGCCUAACUUCUCUCGGCCAGCAAGAACCAACACUCUUCGAGUGGAUCUCGUGGCGCAACGUGACCGCACACGCACUUCUCCGGCACCUGGAAACUGUUACACGCGCACGUGGUGGUCGAGGUGGACAGAAGAGAGUAUAUAGUCUCCGACUCGCCGAGGGCAAGAAAAAAAAAAAGGGUCCCACGUGACGAAGAGAUUUCCUCGUAUCGCGCUAAUUCACUGGUCGAAGCGACGCGACAACGCGAGCGCCGAAUCCACGACUGACAAUGCCUACACUAUCGAACGUUACGUUACGUUCCGCGAUAACAAACACCAAAACGUGCCGCGGACGGACUGCGUCGGAUCCGCGAGCGUAUGUGCUCGCGCGCCGUUUUCGGGAUCGACGAAACGGAAAAGCCCCGGAGGAGAGGAGCGCGUCGAGAAGACACACGCCGCUGAUGCGAUCGCGCGUACACGCACGUACCCGCACACUUGGGCCCGAACUUCGCUCGCUCUUAGCGCGGCUUACCGCAUUUCGUGAUCGGCGUACGUGCGAGCGUCACGUAAUGCGCGCGCGGCGUGGAAAGUACACGCGGCGGGUACGGCGUUCACGCGUUCGAGCGUCGUUAAGUAUUCGUCGUGCGCGCAGAUAAGAGAGCCGAGAGAGUCACCGGCGCGGUGAACGAGAGCCUCCACGACGGUCGGCGACGACGGCUCCGUUCGGCCAGCUGCGCUGGCCACGUAAACAUAACUAGGUACUCGCGGCGCGGAUCCGCGAGUCUGACCCUGCACGGGGCGUAACCACUCGUACGGAGAGGCUGGCGGCCAGCGUCACUUUUCACCGCGGCAUUGGACGGCGCCCGGCCACGCGGUGGGAGCACCGUUGCUGACUGCGCACUAUAAUUAUAACGUUCUCAGUCGCCAUCCAUCUUGCUUGACGCAGUAAUCCAAAAAUAUUCAAUCAGUUUCAAGGACGAUACGCGACGCAGCGGGACAUUGUUGCGACGGCGAAUGCCACUUCCGAAUUCCGAGCGCGAUUUUACGCGACAGCAAAUAAACGCGACUCGAGCCGAGCGACAGCGCGGGCAGGUAAGCGGAUUUGCAGAACCGCCGCCGUCGCAGACCCCGAGCUACAACGAAGCUUUGCAAAAAUCACGGGCGGUAGCUACUCUCGCAAGCCGGUUGCGAGAGCAGUACCCUCGGUCAGGGUCGGCGAGUGUAAGCAACCACGAGGAUAGAUCAACGUCGAUGUCGCCUCAUGUGUCGCCGGCACUAAAAGCCGGGCGAUAAGCGUGAUAUUAAGCGCGUCGUCGUCGUCGUUGUCGUUGGGAACAGAUUAUCAGGGCGUAGGAAUACAACGAUGAUAACGCGGCCCACUGUAAUAUCAGUUUCGCGGUCCGCGAGACAACUAUUCUAAACUCGAGUGCGGCGAAAAACCGCAACGGAAAUAGUCGUGAUACAAUGAACGUGGUAAGCCGAUAUUCAGAUCGGACCUGAUUCAAACAUAAGCGCGCGGUAACUAAAUCGACCGGGCAAAUGGAAUUUAAACGGCUGCGCAUAUCGGAUCGACUCGCUAGAGAAUCGACGGACUCGAAAAUCCUCUCAAGCCGGUUCCCAACGACUCGUUUGCUCGGCCAGACUUCGUGGCAGACUUCGAGAGUCUUCGCAAGAGCGUGUGACGAAUAAUGGUAACGAUUAACGCAGACGAAGGAGGAAAAAUCAUAACGUUGCAUCCUCUUUUUUUUUAAUAUAAUAACAGCGAUCACGGUGCAUUGCCGCUUGUUAAUGACGAACUCGACGAACUUCCAGGCAAAAGUGCAAAUUGGAUUAAUAAUCACGAUUGAUUAAAAUUGUUACUGAUGACGCGACAUAUCUCUCUCGCUCACAUUGCACUUUCCAUUACGUGAGAAAUGGCACGAUAAAUCUAUUACAUAAGUGCAAACAUUUCGCAUAGAUGAAUCAUUUAGAGGCUGUUUUUUUUUUUUUUUAAUGAUGGCUCGCUGCACGGUUCGAAUCUCAUGCCGAGGUAGGCGAAUUCUUGAACACGCGAUUUCACAGUUGUAAUCUGAGUAGCUGCAAUUUCUAUUGCAAGAUAACGCCGCAACGAAGCAACGUUGCAACUGUUUCCUCCUCGAUUCAUCGCGCAUAAUCAAAGCUUUUUUUUAUUUGUAUAUAUUUGCUGCGGAAUAUUUACUGGCCGUUAUAGUUAUGAACAUUUUGCGUUUUAUCACGUUAUAUUAUCACGAAAUAGCGAGCUGAAGUAUUCUUCAAAUGCUUUCUUUGCAUUGCUUUUAAAGGAGAAUCUUAAAAAUAAUCACAAAGAUAUUUUUUCAUUUCACCGAAAUUAUUAUAUGUAAUUAAUGUGCUCUUUAACGUAAAUUGUAGCAAUCAUUUUCGAUGGGAUUUAUUAGUUGGAAAAUAAAAAUACAAGAGAGACAAGUGAGCACAGAUACAUAACUGUGUUAUGGCAAAUGGAAAAUUGCAUCCACUUAUCGCCACUUGUUAUAUUCUUCAACUCUUUGGAAAUGCUGUUAAACGAGAUUAAAUAUUGGAUGCUGCGAUGAUAUUCGCUAACGAUUUUCGCUGCGGGCGAUAAUUGACGCGACCGUUACCGAUACACUAUCUCCCUUUCUCCUUCCUCCCUUUCCCCUAACAUCGUCAUAAAUCUCUGCGAUGCGUGCAUGCACACGAAUCAAUAAUGCGGCACGCAUCAUCGACGAAUGUGCGCGCCGAAUGUCAACCUGUGGUGGAGAGACGAGAUCGAAACGACACGUCGCCGACGCUCCUUCGGGUGAAUCAAUUUUCGUUUCUAUUAUUACAGGGGCUGACGAGAUGCAACAGCGAAAGAAGGGAGAGAUGACUCACUUUGCCGGGUACACGUGCGCGCGCGUGUAUGUGUGUGUGUGCGCGCACGUGCGCGCUCUCGGUUCCGCGCUCAGCGAAGAGAUGAAGGCGUGAGUCGCACCGCUGCAACGAUCACUGGCUGCAAUCACCGCGUCUCUCCUUCAUUACUCAUCGCCUAAGUGAAUGAUGCAAAUCAUGUUCCGGGUAAACAGUCGCGUUUACAUGCGUGCGCGUCCACGCGCGCGCAAGAGAGAGAGAGAGAGAGAAACGUUGCAUCUCACGUUUACGUUAAACGCGUAUGCGUUUCUCUUUUUCCUUGCGUCGGCGUAGGACAGCGGUUCCCAAUCCGCCUCGACUCUCGCGAAUUCCUUCGCAAUACGUUUGUGACGGUGGUAUCAAUUCUGUAUCGAAAAUGAAAAAAAAGACUAGUUUCCGAAAGAUCUCGCUGAGGUUUUUGACUUUAUUCUUAUUAUCUGGUAAAAAUUCGUAUCUCGAAAAAAAAAAA
Molecule: long non-coding RNA, 3703 nt
Filed under: Monomorium pharaonis (pharaoh ant)
Lineage: Eukaryota; Metazoa; Arthropoda; Insecta; Hymenoptera; Formicidae
Description: uncharacterized LOC118648157, transcript variant X2
Source: RNAcentral